This 467-nucleotide ribosomal RNA is filed under the name uncultured bacterium. RNAcentral's name for it is "partial 16S ribosomal RNA". It matches the Rfam family "Bacterial small subunit ribosomal RNA", at positions 28 to 507 of the family's 1533-position model. The record is from RNAcentral.
GAUGAACGCUGACAGAAUGCUUAACACAUGCAAGUCAACUUGAAUUUGGGUUUUUAACUUAGGUUUGGGUGGCGGACGGGUGAGUAACGCGUAAAGAACUUGCCUCACAGCUAGGGACAACAUUUGGAAACGAAUGCUAAUACCUAAUAUUAUGAUAAUAGGGCAUCCUAUAAUUAUGAAAGCUAUAAGCGCUGUGAGAGAGCUUUGCGUCCCAUUAGCUAGUUGGAGAGGUAACGGCUCACCAAGGCGAUGAUGGGUAGCCGGCCUGAGAGGGUGAUCGGCCACAAGGGGACUGAGACUCGGCCCUUACUCCUACGGGAGGCAGCAGUGGGGAAUAUUGGACAAUGGACCGAGAGUCUGAUCCAGCAAUUCUGUGUGCACGAUGAAGUUUUUCGGAAUGUAAAGUGCUUUCAGUUGGGAAGAAACAAAUGACGGUACCAACAGAAGAAGUGACGGCUAAAUACGUG